RNAcentral lists this unclassified non-coding RNA (4458 nucleotides) under Hevea brasiliensis (rubber tree). The record is from RNAcentral. Lineage: Eukaryota; Viridiplantae; Streptophyta; Magnoliopsida; Malpighiales; Euphorbiaceae.
GGAAAAAAGAUGAUAUGGUUGUUUAUAAUGUUCAAAUAAAUAUCUAAACAACAAAAUGUGGGUGAAUCCUACAGUCUCAAAGCCUCAUAAAGCUUAAUUCGAGCUUUAAUUUAUUCAUUCUCAGAAGGCACAGUUACAAAAUAUGGAGCCUACAAAUCAAUUGUCUUUCCUGAAAAGCUAAUGCUGAAAAACCUAAUCCAUAAUCAGGCAUUAAGGGCAUCAAGUUGCUUCCUGAGUUCUUCAAGGUCAUCAAUAGUAGCUGUAGUUGUAUCAGCAUCUGGGAGCUUCUGAAACUCGUCUGCACUUGGAAGCUCAUGUGUAAGACCUUCGGGGAGCGCAUCUGCAGGACCUGACGAACAAGAGAGGAGGAAAAAAGAUUAAAUAAGAGUGCACAACCAGGUAACUUAGUAUAUGAAAUAUGAAGGAAACUUGAGAUUCAGAUGCGAAGCGAACAUGGAGAGAUGGUAGUUAGGACCAUAUUGAAUUUUAUACCUGGCUACAGUAAUUAAAUGUAAGAGUUUGUUUAGAAAAAUUUUAAGUUUAGGACAGGACAGAGGAAUAUACAAGUUACUGAUUUCAUCAUUCAUUGAGCCAGUUCAUUCAGCAGACAAGUUUAAUUUAAAUCAGGAAAUAUAUUCCCAUUCAUUAUACAAGUUUAAAUUUAAUCAUAUAUUGCGGAAAUAAAGCCUGCCACUGUGGAACAGUAAAGCAUCCAUAAUCAUAAAUAUUGAAGACGAACUUUAAAAAUCACCUGAACCUGUGGCAUAUGUAUUUUCCAGCUCACUAUCAUCAACAACACUUAUGUUCCACUCAUUAUCAGCAUGAAGUGGGAUCUCUGUAGCUAACAAUGCUUCUGCCUCCAUUUUGGUUUUAGCUGCAGCAUCCCUAGCUGGCUUUGCAAGGAUAUACUCUUUCUAUAGAUUAAUCACAGUUAACACUAUCAGAAAAGGGGGGAAAAAAAAACACACCAAAUUAUAAGAUUUCAAGAAAGCAACUGCUUCUGAAUCGAAGCGCAUCUGAAUUUGAUACCUGACGCUCCAGACAAACUGCAUGUGAACAUUGAGGAUUUGGCCUCAUUUCCAUGGUUGGAAAAUAAUCCUUAAGAGAAUUGCAUCCCUGCUGCCAAUCAGUAAAGCCAGAAACAGGUAUGGAGAUACAUGUCCAAAUUGAGCAAGAGCUUCAGUGUAUUUUGUACUAAAAGCCCAGCAACAACACCCAUUGUGGUAGGCAAAGAUGCUGCACAAAUCCCCUACGCUUGAGGGUCCGCUCAUCCACACCAGAUGCUACAACCAGAGGAGGUGCACAUGCGAAACAAGCAUUUUCUCCAGGAAUCAACAGCUGUCUAUGACCAGAAACAGCAUCUUCAGAUACACCCGUCACAAAAUAUAUUCACUUAAAUGCUAAGAAGAUGAAACCCAGAUACAUAAGAAUUCAAACUCUACAUGAAAUCCCCUGAAGAUCCAAAACAAAUCAUGCAAGCAUAAUUGGGUCUUGUAAAUCUAGGUACCACUCAUAAAUCUGCCACAUUUAUGCAUUCAGAUUUGAUAGCUAUAUAUUCUACUGAGCAUAUCAUCAUCAAAUACAGUUGCCAACGGCACUGGGGAAGAGUACGCUCAUUUAUAGGGUGGACCAUGCUAUAAUUCAAUUCGUUCUCUCUCCUCUUUCAGAUAGGGAAGCAUAGAUCUAAAACCUUUCUAGAUUACAUGUUUGCGAACAUUAUAAAAUGGGAUAUCGCAUGUUCACAAUUUGUAUCCCAGUAAAGGAAAGAAAAAAAACAGCGAGAACAAUGUUGUUACCAGACUCCAUCCAUGUUUGAUUCAACUCAUUACAAGCCUGCAUAUCCACAACAAAAGCAUUCAAGAGCUCUAGAAUAUUCAAAAAAAGAAUUCCAAUCUCCUAAAAAAUUUACAUCAAUCUUAAAUUUUAAAUCAUAGACAAUAAUCAGAUUAUGCAAUAGAAAGGUAAAAAUGAUAAAUAUCAGAAUGAAAACAACUACAUCAGGAAAAGUCAAAAAGAUAAUCAGGGCUAGCAUCACUCAUCAAAACAAUUGAAAAGGGAAUGAUUGCCACUUAAAUGGUCUUCUUUACCUGGUUAACAGCCAUCCUUGCUUCAUAAUUAUCCACACAACUUAAGACAAGAUCUACUCCACUAACUUCUUCAGUUGGAUGGAAAGAUUUAUUUUUCAAACUUGAAAUGAAGGUUUCAAACCCAUGCACUGUUGUGAUGUUCAGUGUAUAGCUCUGAGAAGACCGCAAUUAGCAUGAAGAAGUACCAAGAAUAUAGUCAGCCGAAUCAAUUUUCUGUUCAAUUCUUUGAUAAGUUUGUGAUGCCCUAACUAACCCACAUAUAUGAUAGAGGUGGCCAAAAUUCUAGCUGUUAGUGGACAAUAAGUAAAAUAGAACCAAACUAUAAAAAAGCAAUCUUCUUCUUCAAUGAUUAUUAGAAAGAGAUUUACCCUAAGCAAACAAAAGGCAUACAGAACUCUUAUCAACCCUCAUCCCCAAAGAAAAGGGGGUGGGUGCACAAGUUUCAGUACCAUGUGCAAAUUGGCUUGAAAGAAUUCACGUCUUGACAAAUUGUAGUAAGUAAUAAGUUUAUAAUUGCCAACAAGUCCCAUAAACACAAACUCCAUUAACACUUACCUCAAGCACAACAUCAGGAUUUAUGUCUGAAAGGGUGUGAACAGCAGCAUCAGUCUUUUUCAUGCCAACCUAUGAAUAAAAAAAGUUGGAAGUAAACAAGGAACAUACCAGAUUUGCAUAUCAUGCAAAUACAGAAAACUGUUGCCUUCUUGAAAUAUGUCAAAAUCAAAUCAGCACAGCAGCAAAGAAAAAGAGCUUCCUGGCUUAAAUCAAAAGAAUUCCAAGUUUAGAUGCAUACUGUAUGAGGAAUGUUGAUAUUAUAAAUCAUUAGGGGGAAAAAACCUGUUCUGGACGAAAGAAAAGUCUUUUCAUGUUGGCCAACUCCACUUUGUCAUAAUCAUACAACAAAAGACGACCUAUUCCACAUCUUGUUAGCAUUUCAGCUGCAACACUGCCAACACCACCAAUUCCCUGUGAUCAAAUGAAAUAACUUAAUAAAAAGGAAAGUAAGGAUCUGUUAAGAUAAUGAUAAUUGAUUGGGAACUCCUGCAUGUAAAUAUUUGCUAGGAUUAAUGUGUAAAGAAAUCAUAAUCAUGGAAACCCAAGAUUCAUGUUACUUCAUGCUCAUGGGAUGGCUGAACCAUGUUAUAUAGCCUCAGGAAACCACCGUCAACAAAUUUGAUUCACUUAAGAUUAUAAUUAAUAAAAAAAAAUUCCAUAUCUGUGCUGCAGCCAUAAGAGCUAUGAAUUUUUCUAGCAAUGCAAAUUUACCUUUUGCCAAACACUGACCAUACAUCAUCUGAGUCAUGUAUAUUGCUUAAAAAAUGCAAUGAUAAAUUAUUAAAACAAUAGACUUAGAAAAGGACUUUUUAUUUGUGCUAAUCCUUCAAUAUGCGCAUUUUAGAUCCUUGGAUGGAAAACUUCAAAACAAUGUUUUAUUGACAGUGAAAUCUAAAAUAAUAAACAAGCCCACUUCUUUGAGAUGCCACCUCAAAAAGGGGAGGAAAAACCACCAUACAUGAAUAAGUAAAAUAAUUAUCAUUUGCAACAACAAGCUAUGCCAAACACAAUAUGGAGCUGUGAUUUCUAGAACUUACACCGAAGGAGUCUAAAUGUUCUAUUUGUGUGGACAACCAUAACAGACAUGUGGAUUGUAGUCAAAUGACUAAGACUUAAAACUUCUAGGCAUAUGUCAAAUCAAAACUUAUUAUAGAAGUAGAUAAAACCCCAAGCAACAUUUUGUCAAAAAUUGUGAUCAACCUCACACUUCAGUUUUUUUUUUUUUUUAAGGUAAUUAACUAUAAAUUAAAAUGCCAUGCCUCUAAAAAUUGGAAGAGUGUAGUUUGCAACAAGCCAAGAUGCAGUUCUUCCUACAAAAUCCUUAAAUUAGUUUUUCCAAAUACCAAGUUUUAGGCUAUUCAUUCCUCCAAAAUGGCCAUAAAUUUGCAAAUACAUUAAAAUAAGCACCAAAAGAAGAAAAGAGGGGAUAAAUACAGACAACAAUGGCAACAGAGAACUCCCGAAUUCUCUCAUAGUUCUGCACAAUACCCAUCCUUUGAAGCGCCAUGAGCCUACUAUAAGGAUUGCUAUCCACAACCUCGGCACUCAUAUCCUUGACUUUUGAACGCCGAACAGGUUCAGACUUUGCCAACGUUGUGAGAUGUUCAAUACGCGACUGCAGCUUAUCGAUUGGAGCGUGAUGAGAUGGAUCAAGCAAUGAAUGCUUAAGAGAAUCGAGAUCAUUUAGCACCUGUUUCAAUUCAGCCUCCAUUACUAGCUGCUUCUUCUGAGCUAAGCUAAAUUCUUCUUCUUCUUCUUCUGCUACAUCACGGCGAUCGCAUCUAUGCAUCCCCUCAAUUAGCCAACUAGGAAGCUG